This 578-nucleotide ribosomal RNA is filed under the name Diplodia seriata. Its description in RNAcentral is "eukaryotic LSU rRNA". The stretch from base 217 to 370 matches the Rfam family "5.8S ribosomal RNA". Lineage: Eukaryota; Fungi; Ascomycota; Dothideomycetes; Botryosphaeriales; Botryosphaeriaceae. The record is from RNAcentral.
UGAACAAGGUUUCCGUAGGUGAACCUGCGGAAGGAUCAUUACCGAGUUCUCGGGCUUCGGCUCGAAUCUCCCACCCUUUGUGAACAUACCUCUGUUGCUUUGGCGGCUCUUUGCCGCGAGGAGGCCCUCGCGGGCCCCCCCGCGCGCUUUCCGCCAGAGGACCUUCAAACUCCAGUCAGUAAACGUCGACGUCUGAUAAACAAGUUAAUAAACUAAAACUUUCAACAACGGAUCUCUUGGUUCUGGCAUCGAUGAAGAACGCAGCGAAAUGCGAUAAGUAAUGUGAAUUGCAGAAUUCAGUGAAUCAUCGAAUCUUUGAACGCACAUUGCGCCCCCUGGCAUUCCGGGGGGCAUGCCUGUUCGAGCGUCAUUACAACCCUCAAGCUCUGCUUGGUAUUGGGCGCCGUCCUCUCUGCGGACGCGCCUUAAAGACCUCGGCGGUGGCUGUUCAGCCCUCAAGCGUAGUAGAAUACACCUCGCUUUGGAGCGGUUGGCGUCGCCCGCCGGACGAACCUUCUGAACUUUUCUCAAGGUUGACCUCGGAUCAGGUAGGGAUACCCGCUGAACUUAAGCAUACU